AAACUAACAAGGAUUCCCCUAGUAACGGCGAGUGAAGUGGGAAAAGCUCAACUUUGAAAUCUGGCACCUUCGGUGUCCGAAUUGUAGUCUCUAGAAGUGUUUUCCGUGCUGGCCCAUGUGUGAGUCUGUUGGAACACAGCGUCAUAGAGGGUGACAACCCCGUUCAUAACAUGGACCCCAGUACUUUGUGAUACACUCUCGACGAGUCGAGUUGUUUGGGAAUGCAGCUCAAAUUGGGUGGUAAAUUCCAUCUAAAGCUAAAUAUUGGCGAGAGACCGAUAGCAAACAAGUACCGUGAGGGAAAGAUGAAAAGCACUUUGGAAAGAGAGUUAACAGUACGUGAAAUUGCUGAAAGGGAAACGAUUGAAGUCAGACGUGCGUGAUGCAGUUCAGCUCUGGUUCGCCAGAGUGUACUCUGUGUCUUUGCAGGCCAACAUCGGUUUCACGAGGCGGAUAAAGGCUUGAGAAAUGUGGCAGCUUCGGCUGUGUUAUAGUCUCUUGCUGAAUACGCCUCGAGAGACCGAGGAACGCAGCGCGCCGCAAGGCAAAGCUCCCGGGCUUUUCGCGCUUAGGAUGUUGGUGAAAUGGCUUUAAACGAC
RNAcentral lists this ribosomal RNA (599 nucleotides) under Cystastrum kilbournense. Its description in RNAcentral is "eukaryotic LSU rRNA". It matches the Rfam family "Eukaryotic large subunit ribosomal RNA", at positions 62 to 648 of the family's 3401-position model. Lineage: Eukaryota; Fungi; Basidiomycota; Cystobasidiomycetes; Cystobasidiales; Cystobasidiaceae. The record is from RNAcentral.